GGGAUUGCACGAGUGUUUUGUUUGGUGAAAUCACAUGAAAUUGUCGUAUUUUCUGUCUAAAAACCUGUCAAAUGUGGCGAUGAAGAACUAGAUUUCAAAUUUCAAGAGUGGAAACCGUAAGUACUGAAAAUGUUUUAUUAUAUUUAGUAAAAAAAACCAGCGAGAUCUCAUAAAAAUUGCAUUGAUUGUCAUUGGGUAACUAUUGACAACCGAUAGUCAAUAGUUUGGUUUGUUUGCAUUUUUGCAUAAGCAAAAUUAUGUUAUUUUAUCACUUCGAAAACAUCAGGUGUAUUUAUAUGCCAACGUUUUCGAUCCGUGACCCAGAUCUUUGCUGAGUACAAAUAAUAUGAACAUCUGGGCUUAUGGAAUCAUCUAAAACUUUACCUAAUUAUAAACACAUGGAGUUUUUUCAAAAAAACAAAACUAUUAAUUUAUGGCAAUGCAAAUGGCUACAGAGAAAAAUGUAAUACUAAAACUAGAAAGCGUUUAUUACAUUUUUUCACCCACAGACUGACAGACACACUCCAGCCUAGAAAGUUCACAACACGCAGCCAAGAUCUCGGGUGCACAGUUUUGAUGUUAAUCUCGGACGCUCAAUUUCCAAGCUUUCCAGUCUGGGACACUUAGCGAAAAUGGACCUCAUUCUAAUUUUAUCUAAAUUUUCCGAUUAGAUAGGUCCAAAGCCCAAAUGUUUUGUGUGCCAUUCAACAAUCUGGCCGUGUUAAUGGAAAGGACCCCUUUGUGCAGAAAAUUUGGUUUUAAUACUAUUUAUAAUAACAUAAAAUUAUUAAGUUAAAUUUUGCCCCCUGCUGUCCCCACUCCCCUGCGUUGCAUACAGCCCACCUUAGAGGUGUUUUAUACAAGCAUGGAAUGAAGGUGAUUUGCACAGCAUAUGUGCAUAAUAAUGUAAAACUAUAAACUAUGGUAUGGAAUGGUAGACUAUAAACUACCGAAAUUAAUUUAUUUUAAAACAUAUCUACAGCAAUUCCAGACCUGGCUUUUACUCAAUCACAUAGCUAUUUGAUCUGUACAGUUGAAUAUAUUCAAACUGGUCAACAUUAAUACUUGAAUAAAAUCUUGGGGUAGAUGUUUCACCGAGUGAACACGUUGGCAUGGAUGUGAGUUAAGGUUUGUGAGAAGGCCAGGGGGGCGGUUGUACGAAGGCCGGAUAGCGCUAUCCACUGGAUAGUGAUUUUUCAAGCUUUGUUAAAUCAGUCGUUGAUUGGUAUAAGUCGUAUUAAAGUUUUGUAUUUAUAAGUUAAAUGUUUUUUUAUACUUCUUGUGUCGUCUACAUCCGUAGUUUCACAGUUUUUCAAGCAUUUUACAUAGCGCUAUCCGACCUUCGUACAACCCGCCCCAGGUGUGUAAAUGUUCGUUUAAGGACAUUAAUAAGAGGGAGGAAUAGGAAGAGUAUAAUGAGGAAAGCAAGGAUGAGAUGGUAUGGACAGAUGAUAAGAUGAGAUUUCAGAGAGCCGGUCAAAAAUAGUAUGGAAUGAAGGGAUAAAAUAUGUGGAGUGGUUGUCAUUGCAGAGAAUGCGAAGGUGGUAUGGACCCAUAAUACGAGAUGCAGAAGAGCCGGUCGAAGAUACAGUAUUAUGGAAUGAAGAGAUCAGAAGAUGUGGAGUGGUAUAGACAUUGCAGAAAAUAUGAGGGAAGCAAGGAUGAGGUGAUAAGACACACGAUAAGAGGAAAUGCAGGAGAAACGAUCGAAGAUGUAGAAUGAAGAGAUCAGAAGAGGUGGGGUGGUAGACAUUCCAGAGAAGACGAGGGAAGCAAGGGGAAGGUGGUAUGGACCCAUGAUAGGACGAGAUGCGGAAGAGCUGGUCGAAGAUAUCAUGGAAUGAAGAGAUCAGAAGAUGUGUGGUGGUAGACAUUGCAGAGAAGGCGAGGGAAGCAAGGGUAAGGUUGUAUGGACACAUAAUAAGAAGGAAUGAAGGAGAUCUAGUUAGAAAUACUAUGGAAUGAAGAGAUCAGCAGAUGCGGAGUGGUAGACAUUGAAGGGAAGGCGAGAGAGGCACGGAUGAGGUGGUAUGGACACAUAGUAAGACGAGAUGCAGGAAAGCCAGUUGAAAGAUAUUAUGGAAUGAAGAGAUCAGAAGAAGUGGGAUGGUAGGAGAGAAGGUGAGGGAAGCAAGGCAGAGAUGGUAUAUCCACGUCGAAAAGAAGUGAUGAACGAGAACCUGUCAGAAAAUAUGGAACUGACGAAUUGAUAGGUGGCUGUGUAAAAAAUGAUGAUGUGGGCUGAUGUAACAAUGAUAUACAUGAGAAGGAAGAAAAACAAUGGAGGUUAAGAGCCCAAGCAGCCGACCCGCGGCCGGAUCAGUCUUGGACUCUUGCUUCGUAAAAGAAGAGCAAGGAUUAACAUCGGUUGCUAUACUUACUGUAUAUUGAUAUCAGCAUUCGCACUGCCUUGUAGUUCACUGAUUAUAAGCUCAGAAAUACGAGUGUUUUUUUAAAAAUUCUUUACAACAAAUGGCGAAAAUAUCUUGGUGAAAUUGUCGUAUUUUCUGUCUAAAAACCUGGAAAAUGUGGCGAUGAACAGUGCUGUAAGUAACUUCGUUAAAAGUAACUAGUUACAAGUAAU
Non-coding RNA from Paramuricea clavata, 2584 nucleotides. Lineage: Eukaryota; Metazoa; Cnidaria; Anthozoa; Malacalcyonacea; Plexauridae. The record is from the annotation of a GenBank genome assembly.